RNAcentral lists this transfer RNA (73 nucleotides) under Halobacteriovorax marinus SJ. RNAcentral describes it as "Bacteriovorax marinus SJ tRNA". It matches the Rfam family "tRNA". From Rfam's summary of the family: Transfer RNA (tRNA) molecules are approximately 80 nucleotides in length. Their secondary structure includes four short double-helical elements and three loops (D, anti-codon, and T loops). Further hydrogen bonds mediate the characteristic L-shaped molecular structure. tRNAs have two regions of fundamental functional importance: the anti-codon, which is responsible for specific mRNA codon recognition, and the 3' end, to which the tRNAs corresponding amino acid is attached (by aminoacyl-tRNA synthetases). tRNAs cope with the degeneracy of the genetic code in two manners: having more than one tRNA (with a specific anti-codon) for a particular amino acid; and 'wobble' base-pairing, i.e. permitting non-standard base-pairing at the 3rd anti-codon position. Lineage: Bacteria; Pseudomonadati; Bdellovibrionota; Bacteriovoracia; Bacteriovoracales; Halobacteriovoraceae. The record is from Rfam by way of RNAcentral.
GGGGGUGUAGCUCAGUUGGGAGAGCACUUGCUUUGCACGCAAGGGGUCGCAGGUUCAACUCCUGUCAUCUCCA